AUGACUCCCAUGUGGCUCUUCCUCUUCCUGCUGUCAGCUCCCAGAUGCUCAGUGACCAGCAGUAACUACUGGAACUGGAUCCGUCAGCCACCAGGGAAAGGUUUGCAGUGGAUGGGGUACUGGACAGGGGGCACAAGCUACAACCCAGCCUUCCAGGGCCGCAUCUCCAUCACCGGUGACACGGCCAGGAACCAGUUCUCCCUGCAGCUGAGCUCCGUGACCACCGAAGACACAGCCAUGUUGUGCAAGACACAGUGA
This is a non-coding RNA of Myotis daubentonii (Daubenton's bat), 258 nucleotides long. Lineage: Eukaryota; Metazoa; Chordata; Mammalia; Chiroptera; Vespertilionidae. The record is from the annotation of a RefSeq genome assembly.